UGCGGAAUUUUAGAUAAUGGAGGGAACUCUGAUCUAGCGACGCCGCGUGCAGGAAGAAGGUCUUCGGAUUGUAAACUGCUGUGGUAAGGGAAAAAUGCUAUGUAGAGUGGAAAGCUACAUAGAGGGAUGGUACCUUACUAGAAAGCCCCGGCUAACUACGUGCCAGCAGCCGCGGUAAUACGUAGGGGGCGAGCGUUACCCGGAAUCACUGGGCGUAAAGGGAGCGUAGGUGGCCUAACAUGUCAACUGGGAAAACCCGGAGCUCAACUCCGGACUUGCAGUUGAAACUGGUAGGCUUGAGGACGGUAGAGGAAGACGGAACUGCCAGUGUAGGGGUAAAAUCCUUAGAUAUUGGCAGGAACGCCGGUGACGAAGGUGGUUUUCUGGGCCGGUUCUGACACUGAUGCUCGAAAGCCAGGGGAGCG
RNAcentral lists this ribosomal RNA (425 nucleotides) under uncultured bacterium. Its description in RNAcentral is "bacterial SSU rRNA". It matches the Rfam family "Bacterial small subunit ribosomal RNA", at positions 355 to 770 of the family's 1533-position model. The record is from RNAcentral.